UGUUCCUGGGCAGAGGUGAGUCACACCUUCUCCUCUCACCAGACUCUGAGCUAAUUCUCCACAGGUGAGGAGCAGGGGGAGCGGCAGCUGCAGGAGAUUUCCCAAUCAGGGACGCGGGUUCAAAAGGAGGAUGGAGACACAUCACUUUGCCGGAUGAUUGCACCAGUUUAGGAUCAUCUCAUCAUCUACUCACCCUCGCUGUCUUCAUUUUCUGGAACAUACUCAUCACGUCCCAUCCUCCUCCGCCGUUCCUGUUUGGCUUUCCCUCUGCUACCUCACCCCUCCUGGAUCUCUCAUCCUCUGCCCAGCGUCCUCCCCGGCUUCCCCUCCUCUACUGAUUAACCUGAGCACCUCAGAGACUCGAGCCGUAUUGCUCAUCCCACAGGACUUCCCUGUGCGGUUUCAGUUCCCGUUUUUAUAAUAAAGACAUUUUACUUUA
This is a non-coding RNA of Nothobranchius furzeri (turquoise killifish), 439 nucleotides long. NCBI's taxonomy places the organism in Eukaryota, Metazoa, Chordata, Actinopteri, Cyprinodontiformes, Nothobranchiidae. The record is from RefSeq and is a predicted model, not a curated record.